RNAcentral lists this ribosomal RNA (253 nucleotides) under uncultured bacterium. Its description in RNAcentral is "partial 16S ribosomal RNA". It matches the Rfam family "Bacterial small subunit ribosomal RNA", at positions 524 to 776 of the family's 1533-position model. The record is from RNAcentral.
UACGUAGGGUGCAAGCGUUGUCCGGAAUUAUUGGGCGUAAAGAGCUCGUAGGCGGUCUGUCGCGUCUGCUGUGAAAAUCCAGGGCUCAACCCUGGACCUGCAGUGGGUACGGGCAGACUAGAGUGCGGUAGGGGAGAUCGGAAUUCCUGGUGUAGCGGUGAAAUGCGCAGAUAUCAGGAGGAACACCAGCGGCGAAGGCGGCGCUCUGGGCCGGUACUGACGCUGAGGAGCGAAAGCCAGGGGAGCAAACGGG